AACAUCUCGCCCUUCUCCUUCGGGCUGAUCAUCCAGCAGGUGUUCGACAACGGCAGCAUUUACAACCCGGAAGUGCUCGACAUCACAGAGCAGACGCUGCACUCCCGCUUCCUGGAGGGCGUCCGAAAUGUUGCCAGUGUUUGUCUGCAGAUUGGUUACCCGA
Molecule: non-coding RNA, 163 nt
Organism: Peromyscus maniculatus bairdii (prairie deer mouse)
Lineage: Eukaryota; Metazoa; Chordata; Mammalia; Rodentia; Cricetidae
Source: RefSeq, a predicted model, not a curated record